Long non-coding RNA from Felis catus (domestic cat), 984 nucleotides. RefSeq lists it as uncharacterized. Lineage: Eukaryota; Metazoa; Chordata; Mammalia; Carnivora; Felidae. The record is from RefSeq and is a predicted model, not a curated record. The transcript is spliced from 3 exons.
UCUCUCUCGCUCUCAAAAAUAAUAUUUUUAAAUUUUAUUAAAAAAAAAAACGUAGAGACUAGAACAAAUUCUGUAGAACAGACCAUGGCAGUUAGAAUCAGUGUGUGAGUUAAUACAUACCGCAUACAGUUAGUCUUAGAUUUGUGUGAAGUCUUAGAUUUGUGAAGAAGCAAUCUACUCCUAUUGGUGAAAUGGCCUGUAACUAUUAUUGUUUCCAUCUGUGUAGACAAUAUUUCUAAGAUCUGUGAAGAUCAGAAAGGUGUUCUAACCUGGGAAGGAAGUGAAAGAACUAGCUAAGGGGCCCAUAGGAAUGCUCAUUGCCUCUGUGCCCCAUUCCAGGGGACGGUCGUCAUGGCAACCCAACCACAACUUGCUCCUGGUGGACACUGCAAACCCAGUGUUGGUGCAGAGAAUGUUUCACUAGGAUUCCACCCAUCCAUGAAAUGAAGGUCCAGUUAGGAAAGCCACAUCAGUGCCCUGCCUGUUCCACACAGCCUGUUAGGUCUCCAAAACAGCAGUCUAUAACUUUCUGUGGCUCUGCCUUUGAUCCUGACCAGGAAUUGCUGUAAAAGUUCAUGAUGCAGCUUCAAUUGAAUCUUAUUCAACUAUUAGUUGUCCUGAAAAUAGGCCACUAUCAAUAUCACAGAGGAUGGAUCAAAGGAAAGGAAAUGCGGCAAAUACCACUAAAUGAUCGCAGCCCUCUUUCUGGGACCUCUCAAGGCUCUGCAAGACAGCAUAUCUUGAGUGGUUUCUGCCAAAAGCACAGCGUCAUGGAGAGCUGGCAAAUGUUCUUUAUCAUCCCUGAAUUGAGAGUUCGAUACGGGCAGAUACUUUAUCUGUUGAUAUUGUUCACAGUUGUAUCUCUAGCAUGAAGCACUGGUGCCUGGCACAUAAUAAAAAAAAAAAAAUCUAGCAAUAUUGUAAAUUUUUUUUAAGUUUAUUUACUUUUGAGAGAUAGAGUGAGCAUGAGCGGGGAGGGGCAGA